GUGGGGAAUAUUGGACAAUGGGCGAAAGCCUGAUCCAGCCAUGCCGCGUGUGUGAAGAAGGUCUUCGGAUUGUAAAGCACUUUAAGUUGGGAGGAAGGGCAGUAAGUUAAUACCUUGCUGUUUUGACGUUACCGACAGAAUAAGCACCGGCUAACUUCGUGCCAGCAGCCGCGGUAAUACGAAGGGUGCAAGCGUUAAUCGGAAUUACUGGGCGUAAAGCGCGCGUAGGUGGUUUUGUAAGUUGGAGGUGAAAUCCCCGGGCUCAACCUGGGAACUGCCUCCAAAACUGCAUGACUAGAGUACGGUAGAGGGUAGUGGAAUUUCCAGUGUAGCGGUGAAAUGCGUAGAUAUAGGAAGGAACACCAGUGGCGAAGGCGACUACCUGGACUGAUACUGACACUGAGGUGCGAAAGCGUGGGGAGCAAACAGGAUUAGAAACCCGGGUAGUCC
RNAcentral lists this ribosomal RNA (450 nucleotides) under uncultured bacterium. Its description in RNAcentral is "bacterial SSU rRNA". It matches the Rfam family "Bacterial small subunit ribosomal RNA", at positions 354 to 796 of the family's 1533-position model. The record is from RNAcentral.